This 2403-nucleotide long non-coding RNA is filed under the name Salmo salar (Atlantic salmon). RNAcentral's name for it is "lncRNA (ENSSSAG00000092178.1)". Lineage: Eukaryota; Metazoa; Chordata; Actinopteri; Salmoniformes; Salmonidae. The record is from RNAcentral.
UGUCAACAAACAUGGCUCCACACAUACUGUAUCUGCCUACCCCGGCCAAACCCUAACCCAGACGACGCUGGGCCAAUUGUGCGCCACCCACGGGACUUCCAAUCAUGGCCAGUUGUGAUACAGCGUGGAAUCGAACCAGGCGAAUCACGGGGAUUGGGACCUGGUCGGGUGUCAACAGUAUAUCCCUCGCGUCCGACUCAUUGAAGAAAAACUUUUUGUCCAGUUUGAGGAGUGACUUCGGGACAAGUCUCUGAAUGUCCUUGAGUGGCUCAGCCAGAGCCUGGACUUUAAACUGAUCGAAAAUAUCUGUAGAAACCUGAAAAUAGCCGUGCAGCAAUGCUCCUCAUGCAACUUGACAGAGCUUGAGAGGAUCUACAGAGAAGAAUGGGAGAAACUCCCCAGAUACAGGUGUCCCAAGCUUGUAGCUUUAUACCCAAGAAGACUCAAGGCUGUAAUCUCUGCCAAAGGUGCUUCAACAAAGUACUGAGUAAAGGGUCUGUAAACAUGAUCAAUUCAUUUUUUCAUUUUUAAUAAAUUAGCAAAUAUUUCUAAAAACCUGUUUUUGCUUUGACAUUAUAGGGUGUUGUGUGUCAAUUUUAGAAAAACGCUGUAAAGCAACAAAAUGUCAAAUAAGUCAAAGGGUCUGAAUACUUUCCGAAGGCACUGUAUAGAUAACUGUUAUUUUCUACUCCUUGUAUGUGCCUUUCUAUAAACUAGGGUACCAGUGAGGAUUGAUAAUGAUACAAAUAAAAAAAGAUAAUGUCAUUACAUCAACUUAUAAGGGGGAUCAUAGCUAUAUUUAAUACAAUUCACAAGUUGGUUAAAAACCUAUGUUUAACCGUUUAUCAUGGUUGGAAAGUUCUAUACAAAAUCGUGUGAUAUAAAACAUUACUUUUCUGUCCUUGUAUUUAUGGCAGUAUAUGUUGUCAUUAUAUCAUAUUUAUUAAGCAUUAAUCAGUUAGAUUAGAUUAGUUACGCCAUGAUAUUUUCACACAUCUGAUCCAGGUAGACAUUUUCCGAAUGACAGUGAAGUGACAAACAGCUGUUGUGAUAGCACAUGCAAUGCAACAACAGCCCAAGUGCUGGAAAUAAGGUGUUGGCGAGGAAGGUUCAGAAUAUUUUGUUACGCAGGUAAAGACAGUUGUGCCUGGAUCCACAUUGGAUCGACUAUCCCGAGUAAAUUAAUGUUGAUCAUCUGUUGUUGUCUACUCGAUUUAGGGUGUUGUUAGAUUUAACAGAGCAAACAUCAAGGUAAUGAGUUUAUAUUUUCAUAUGUUUUUGUGCCUCGGAUUGGACACAGAGUCUACUCUGCGCAAUUGUGUAGGAUAGACUAUUGUGCAACAUCCAACACACUUCCUAUUAAUUAUUCUGGAUAUAAUGACAACAUAGUGGGCUAGGGGGGUUCUUCACAAUAUGAUCGGGUAAUGAAAUAACAUGACAAACACAUUUUGGUAACCAUGUUACACCUACAAUUUUAAACAACACAUUAUCAAACUUAUUGUGAAAUAGAAACAAAUGACUUAUUAAAAAUGUGUGACUGGCACAUGAAGAAGGCCACUAUUUUGUGUGUAUUACACAAUUUUCAAUACAAUGCAUUUUGUGUGCAUUACACAAUUUUCUUUCUUCAUAAUGCAUUUGUGUACAUUACACAAAUUCCAAUUUGUUGUGGCUAACGUUAGCUAGACUAGCUAGGUGGCUAAUGUUAGCUAGGCUAGGGGUUAACAUUAGGGUUAGGGGUUAAGGUUAGGUUUAGGGGUUAAGGUUCGGGCUAGGGCUAGUUAACAUGCUAGCUAAGUAAUUCAAGGGUUAGGUUUAGGAGUUAGAUUAAAGGAUUAAGGUUGGGGUUAUGGGAAGGGUUAGCUAACAUCCUAAGUAGUCGCAAUGUAGUUAAGUAGUAAGAAAAAGUAGUAAAAAUUAGUAAGUUGUUGCAAAGUAGCUAAUUAGUGAAAAUGUGAACGUUUUUCAUGAUAAGAUUCAAACACACAACCUUUGGGUUGCUAGACACUCGCGUUAUACUCCUACCCAUCCUCCCCGACCAACCUCACUUUCAUAAUGUCAUCUAAUGUUUGCUUCUAUCUUGGCUUCCAUACAAAUCCAUCUAUUAAAAAUGGAACCAAGUUUUUGGUCACUUUCUCAUUAGGAAAACAGAGAUGGUGAGAUUAAUGCUACUGCUGUUCAUGGAUUUAUUACAUGUGUCUGUGUCAGACACAUAGGCCACAGAAAAAAUUGCCAUGCAUGCAUUCAAUCUAUUUAGUCCACAUUAUUCUCAAUUUUGUUUAUGUAAUAAUAAUUUCAAUAUGAAUGCAUUGGCAAGGCCCCAAAAAAGUAUAAUUUUUCUUAGUGGUAACGGCCUACUUUUUAUUUUAUUUAAUUUAUUUAUUUACUUUUGCAUGCUUUUUGGGG